Molecule: ribosomal RNA, 86 nt
Filed under: Paenibacillus polymyxa
Lineage: Bacteria; Bacillati; Bacillota; Bacilli; Caryophanales; Paenibacillaceae
Also listed under: 10 other names
Source: RNAcentral
UACCCAUCCCGAACACGACCGUUAAGCCCUCCAGCGCCGAUGGUACUUGGACCGCAGGGUCCUGGGAGAGUAGGACGCCGCCAAGC